CUACGGGAGGCAGCAGUAGGGAAUAUUGCACAAUGGAGGAAACUCUGAUGCAGCGACGCCGCGUGAGUGAUGAAGGACUUCGGUUCGUAAAGCUCUGUCGUAUGGGAAUAAGAAAGUGAAUGUACCAUGCAAGAAAGGAUCGGCUAACUUCGUGCCAGCAGCCGCGGUAAGACGAGGGAUCCUAGCGUUGUUCGGAAUCAUUGGGCGUAAAGCGGAUGUAGGUGGCUUUGUAAGUCAGGUGUGAAAGCCCCGGGCUCAACCCGGGAAGUGCAUUUGAUACUGCGAAGCUUGAGUGCUGGAGAGGUUACUAGAAUACCUGGUGUAGUGGUGAAAUACGUAGAUAUCAGGUGGAAUACCGGAGGCGAAGGCGGGUAACCAGCCUGACACUGACACUCAGAUCCGAAAGUGUGGGGAUCAAACAGGAUUAGAAACCCGAGUAGUCC
RNAcentral lists this ribosomal RNA (443 nucleotides) under uncultured bacterium. Its description in RNAcentral is "bacterial SSU rRNA". It matches the Rfam family "Bacterial small subunit ribosomal RNA", at positions 339 to 796 of the family's 1533-position model. The record is from RNAcentral.